UACGAAGGGGGCUAGCGUUGUUCGGAAUCACUGGGCGUAAAGCGCACGCAGGCGGAUUGAUAAGUCAGGGGUGAAAUCCCGGAGCUCAACUUCGGAAUUGCCUUUGAUACUGUCUGUCUUGAGUCCGGGAGAGGUGAGUGGAAUUCCUAGUGUAGAGGUGAAAUUCGUAGAUAUUAGGAAGAACACCAGUGGCGAAGGCGACACGCUGGGCUGUACCUGACGCUGAGGCGCGAAAGCGUGGGGAGCGAACCGG
This 253-nucleotide ribosomal RNA is filed under the name uncultured bacterium. RNAcentral's name for it is "partial 16S ribosomal RNA". It matches the Rfam family "Bacterial small subunit ribosomal RNA", at positions 524 to 776 of the family's 1533-position model. The record is from RNAcentral.